CAGCAGGAUGUGCCGGAUUUUAUUUUGGACUGGGGUAUUUUGGCUGAAACAUCAGCUGAAUUUUGAGUCGCAGCAAAACACAUUUAACCCUUUCGUUCUGUCCACAUCCUCGAGGCACUCGAAUAAAUCUCAAUUACCUGUGGCAACAAAUCACUGGCUGUGCUAAUGUAUUACAAGUUGCACUAAAGCAGCCACAGUGACAACUCAACUAAUUCGGUCUUAGACAACAUAGUGGAAAGUAGUUCUUUCGCAAUUUAUUAAAGCCUCUUACUUUGAUAUUUAGCUCCCAAGUGGAGCAUAUUCAUUGCACUUGAUUGCAUGCCACCGAACACAAAGGACAUCGUAAUUGAGCAGCCAUGAAGACAGUCCAAAUCGAGCUGCAUCCAAAACCGCCUGUCACGGCUCAUCAAGCUUUUAAAGGCGCAAAGGACGAAAAGGACGAUAAGGACUAUGAGGACGAUAAGGAAUAGGUUCCACCCUAAUGGACGCCCAAGUGGCAAUGUGAAUGCGAGUGUGUCUUGCAGAUGUGGCGAAAGUAACUCAAAAGGAUCCUAAAGAGUAUCCAGCAAGGAUAUCCAGCAAGGAUAUCCAGCAAGGAGCCGAAAUUCCCGGCCAGUAGACAUGCGAAAUGUCAGUAGUAUAUCAUUUUUUAGUGAAGUGCAACCGCAGCAGCCGCAAAGGGGCGGCCGAAGGGAGGGGGGCGUGGCCUAGACCCAGACCCCCAGACAAACACACACAUGUACUCGUUGGCAGACUCAGACACAGACACACACGCAAAUACAGAUACAGAUACAGAUACCUAUACAAAUACAGAAGCUGGCCCAAAAACGCCCGCACUUGAAUUAAACAUCUUUCACAUUUCGCAAUUGUACGUUGAAUCCUGCUUCCAUAUGCACCCACACACACACACACACACACACACACACACGUCCUGCAUGUGUGUGCGAGUGUAGAUAUGUGUGUGUUAAACCAAUUUGUCUGACUGCCUGCAGAUGUGUUUGUGAGUCGGCUGUAGUUCUUGUUUUUGUGUCUCUCAACGAAAGGAGAUCGAAAUGUUUGCAAAUUAACUAAGUACAAGAUCUAAAUUGUAAUGUUUUAAAUUAUCAUGUCUGUUACAAAUUUAGGUUUUAAAGGAAAAAUCUGAAAAAAAAAGCAUUUGAAUGAAGUAUAUAUAAGCAGAUAUAUUUUAAGACUUCUUUAAAAACAGAGACCUAGAAAACUUGUAUAUUUUUCCUUGAUUAUUACAACUCGCAAAAAUAUGCAUUAAAUAUUCUGUAACUUUUCGAUCUCCUCGCUGCAUUUUCAGCCAAAAACUAAAGCUGUUUCGUGGGCGGGGUGGGGAAUUUAAUGCGAGCAGCUGCUGCCUUUUUCCUUCGCUUUUCCUGCUCAAACUCUUGCCGCUCUUUUUGGCCAUCUUUUUGAUAUUAACGCUGGCUGCGACGUCGACUGCGACUGCGACUGCGACUGCAACUGCGACGCCUUCUUGGUCGUCGUCGCCUUCAUAAGAAAUUCAUAAGUAUUUCCGCUUGCCUGAUUUUUGAUUCGGUAAUUAAAAUGCAACUGAGAUUGCGCUGCUCCACGUGUGUUAGCUGCUUUUUGGGCGAAAAACCUCCACACUCGUACACUUCUACAUACAUAUGUACAUACAUACAUAUAUAGUACUUGUGCAGCCAACAAACAUUUUUCUCAUAUGGGAGACGUGGAAAACUUGACGCUGUUUUUGCCUAGUUGAGGUUGCAUAAAUCUGGAGAUUGCUUAUAUUUUCUCGCUGGCUUAUUCUUGUGGUGCCACUACAUCACUAUAUUAGUUGCAUGCGGCAACUGAAACAAACACAUCUAAUUUCAGCUUGCAGUUGACUUCUUUGCGGCUUUCAUGUAGCUCUACUUAAAAAUAAAUGUAAAAAAUAAUGUAAGUUCAAGUUAGUAAUAUUAAGCACAGGAAAUAUAAUAUUUGUUUUAAGAUUUCAAACUUUAUUGUACUUUCUAAGACAGGAUUCAUUUGUGACAUUAUUUUUUAAAGAAUUUUUUGGAAUUUAUACCUUUUUUAAUAACUCUAAUCAUUGUACAUCACUUGUACAGCACAUCAGAUUGUUGUCGGGAGUGUUUUUGCCAACUCACAUAUUAAUAUAUAUAUACAUAUAUAUAUGUGGGGGAUAUACUACCUCACUAUAGAUGGGGAAAGGAAAAGCGUGGAGCUGCGGAAACUGUUAUUCCAGGUGCUCCCUGGGCCCGACAGCUGAUUGCUUUGGCAUUGCAAGUAGUCGAGCUUUGAUUACUCGAACGGUUUCUAAGCACCAAAAGGGGAGCCACACCACUCACCACCCACCACCCAUCACCCACCCAUCUCGUCCUCAAACAGCCCAUCCUUUUACAAGCAGUCAGUCCCCUCAUCAUUCCGUUUGGUUCCAUUCUGGGGCAAUGCAACAGUGGCAAAACGCAUUAUCUGCUUCAGCUGUCAAGUGGAAAGUGGCAAGUGGAAAGCGGCAAGUGGCGGGGUGGAGUUUGGCUGGUUGGAAUCGGGUAGAAAAUCGGGGGAAAAUCGGAGGAAAAUCGGAGGAAAAUCGGGGAAAAGUGCGGGGGGAAAUGCGGCAAGUGGAGAGCGCAAAGCGAAGCUAAAGAAAUAUAUUUUGCAAUUUCAUUUACAAAAGUUUAUCUUGGAGUGCGCGUUUUGCGCCAGGAAACGGACUGCGACUGCGAAUGCGACUGCGACCAGGUGGAACCAGGUGGAGGAGGCCCAGAUUCAGAUGGAGGACCACGGCCAGGAUCGGGAACAGGACGAGGCGCAGGACGAAAAAGAUCAAGCCAUCAAAUGUCAAACUCAAGAGGUCGAGGCUGGAAAUGCCCUUACUUUGAGUGUGGGAAUAUCAAACAAUUACUGUUUUAAAUUCAAGAAUAACAAUGGUAGCUUUAGAAUAUUAAGAUUAUUUUAAAAGAAAUACUUUUAAACAAUUUAAAACAAGCAAAAACACAAUUAUAAAUAAGUUUAAUUAUAUCCCAGUAUUUUAGAGCACGAAAUUGUUGUCAACGGUAGUUAAACGUGAAAGAAAUGUAAAUCAACGACCAUUUUCUCAAUUAUACAUUUUAAAUCAA
Molecule: long non-coding RNA, 3089 nt
Organism: Drosophila yakuba
Lineage: Eukaryota; Metazoa; Arthropoda; Insecta; Diptera; Drosophilidae
Exons: 2
Source: RefSeq, a predicted model, not a curated record